Molecule: unclassified non-coding RNA, 348 nt
Filed under: soil metagenome
Description: partial contains 5.8S ribosomal RNA, internal transcribed spacer 2, and large subunit ribosomal RNA
Rfam family: 5.8S ribosomal RNA (bases 1-120)
Source: RNAcentral
GAUGAAGAACGCAGCGAAAUGCGAUAAGUAAUGUGAAUCGCAGAAUUCAGUGAAUCAUCGAAUCUUUGAACGCACAUUGCGCCCGCCAGUAUUCUGGCGGGCAUGCCUGUCUGAGCGUCAUUUCAACCCUCAUGCCCCUAGGGCGUGGUGUUGGGGAUCGGCCAAAGCCCGCGAGGGACGGCCGGCCCCUAAAUCUAGUGGCGGACCCGUCGUGGCCUCCUCUGCGAAGUAGUGAUAUUCCGCAUCGGAGAGCGACGAGCCCCUGCCGUUAAACCCCCAACUUUCCAAGGUUGACCUCAGAUCAGGUAGGAAUACCCGCUGAACUUAAGCAUAUCAAUAAGCGGAGGA